Molecule: ribosomal RNA, 650 nt
Filed under: uncultured bacterium
Lineage: Bacteria
Description: bacterial SSU rRNA
Rfam family: Bacterial small subunit ribosomal RNA
Source: RNAcentral
UCAGGCCUAACACAUGCAAGUCGAGCGGACAGAAGGGAGCUUGCUCCCGGAUGUUAGCGGCGGACGGGUGAGUAACACGUGGGUAACCUGCCUGUAAGACUGGGAUAACUCCGGGAAACCGGAGCUAAUACCGGAUAGUUCCUUGACCGCAUGGUUCAAGGAUGAAAGACGGUUUCGGCUGUCACUUACAGAUGGACACGCGGCGCAUUAGCUAGUUGGUGGGGUAAUGGCUCACCAAGGCGACGAUGCGUAGCCGACCUGAGAGGGUGAUCGGCCACACUGGGACUGAGACACGGCCCAGACUCCUACGGGAGGCAGCAGUAGGGAAUCUUCCGCAAUGGACGAAAGUCUGACGGAGCAACGCCGCGUGAGUGAUGAAGGUUUUCGGAUCGUAAAGCUCUGUUGUUAGGGAAGAACAAGUGCGAGAGUAACUGCUCGCACCUUGACGGUACCUAACCAGAAAGCCACGGCUAACUACGUGCCAGCAGCCGCGGUAAUACGUAGGUGGCAAGCGUUGUCCGGAAUUAUUGGGCGUAAAGGGCUCGCAGGCGGUUUUUUAAGUCUGAUGUGAAAGCCCCCGGCUCAACCGGGGAGGGUCAUUGGAAACUGGGAAACUUGAGUGCAGAAGAGGAGAGUGGAAUUCCACGUGU